UCAUCUCCGGGGGUAGAGCACUGUUUCGGCAAGGGGGUCAUCCCGACUUACCAACCCGAUGCAAACUGCGAAUACCGGAGAAUGUUAUCACGGGAGACACACGGCGGGUGCUAACGUCCGUCGUGAAGAGGGAAACAACCCAGACCGCCAGCUAAGGUCCCAAAGUCAUGGUUAAGUGGGAAACGAUGUGGGAAGGCCCAGACAGCCAGGAUGUUGGCUUAGAAGCAGCCAUCAUUUAAAGAAAGCGUAAUAGCUCACUGGUCGAGUCGGCCUGCGCGGAAGAUGUAACGGGGCUAAACCAUGCACCGAAGCUGCGGCAGCGACGCUUAUGCGUUGUUGGGUAGGGGAGCGUUCUGUAAGCCUGUGAAGGUGUGCUGUGAGGCAUGCUGGAGGUAUCAGAAGUGCGAAUGCUGACAUAAGUAACGAUAAAGCGGGUGAAAAGCCCGCUCGCCGGAAGACCAAGGGUUCCUGUCCAACGUUAAUCGGGGCAGGGUGAGUCGACCCCUAAGGCGAGGCCGAAAGGCGUAGUCGAUGGGAAACAGGUUAAUAUUCCUGUACUUGGUGUUACUGCGAAGGGGGGACGGAGAAGGCUAUGUUGGCCGGGCGACGGUUGUCCCGGUUUAAGCGUGUAGGCUGGUUUUCCAGGCAAAUCCGGAAAAUCAAGGCUGAGGCGUGAUGACGAGGCACUACGGUGCUGAAGCAACAAAUGCCCUGCUUCCAGGAAAAGCCUCUAAGCAUCAGGUAACAUCAAAUCGUACCCCAAACCGACACAGGUGGUCAGGUAGAGAAUACCAAGGCGCUUGAGAGAACUCGGGUGAAGGAACUAGGCAAAAUGGUGCCGUAACUUCGGGAGAAGGCACGCUGAUAUGUAGGUGAAGCGACUUGCUCGUGGAGCUGAAAUCAGUCGAAGAUACCAGCUGGCUGCAACUGUUUAUUAAAAACACAGCACUGUGCAAACACGAAAGUGGACGUAUACGGUGUGACGCCUGCCCGGUGCCGGAAGGUUAAUUGAUGGGGUUAGCCGCAAGGCGAAGCUCUUGAUCGAAGCCCCGGUAAACGGCGGCCGUAACUAUAACGGUCCUAAGGUAGCGAAAUUCCUUGUCGGGUAAGUUCCGACCUGCACGAAUGGCGUAAUGAUGGCCAGGCUGUCUCCACCCGAGACUCAGUGAAAUUGAACUCGCUGUGAAGAUGCAGUGUACCCGCGGCAAGACGGAAAGACCCCGUGAACCUUUACUAUAGCUUGACACUGAACAUUGAGCCUUGAUGUGUAGGAUAGGUGGGAGGCUU
This 1287-nucleotide ribosomal RNA is filed under the name Escherichia coli. RNAcentral describes it as "bacterial LSU rRNA". It matches the Rfam family "Bacterial large subunit ribosomal RNA", at positions 890 to 2157 of the family's 2925-position model. Lineage: Bacteria; Pseudomonadati; Pseudomonadota; Gammaproteobacteria; Enterobacterales; Enterobacteriaceae. The record is from RNAcentral.